This 497-nucleotide ribosomal RNA is filed under the name uncultured bacterium. RNAcentral's name for it is "partial 16S ribosomal RNA". It matches the Rfam family "Bacterial small subunit ribosomal RNA", at positions 28 to 507 of the family's 1533-position model. The record is from RNAcentral.
GAUGAACGCUGGCGGCGUGCCUAAUACAUGCAAGUCGAGCGAACAGAUGAGGAGCUUGCUCCUCUGACGUUAGCGGCGGACGGGUGAGUAACACGUGGAUAACCUACCUAUAAGACUGGGAUAAUUUCGGGAAACCGGAGCUAAUACCGGAUAAUAUAUUGAACCGCAUGGUUCAAUAGUGAAAGACGGUUUUGCGGUCACUUAUAGAUGGAUCCGCGCCGCAUUAGCUAGUUGGUAAGGUAACGGCUUACCAAGGCAACGAUGCGUAGCCGACCUGAGAGGGUGAUCGGCCACACUGGAACUGAGACACGGUCCAGACUCCUACGGGAGGCAGCAGUAGGGAAUCUUCCGCAAUGGGCGAAAGCCUGACGGAGCAACGCCGCGUGAGUGAUGAAGGUCUUCGGAUCGUAAAACUCUGUUAUUAGGGAAGAACAAAUGUGUAAGUAACUAUGCACGUCUUGACGGUACCUAAUCAGAAAGCCACGGCUAACUACGUG